This 584-nucleotide long non-coding RNA is filed under the name Homo sapiens (human). Its description in RNAcentral is "HSALNT0300661". The record is from RNAcentral. Lineage: Eukaryota; Metazoa; Chordata; Mammalia; Primates; Hominidae.
UAGUUCUAAGGAAGCUACAGCUGUGUACACUCAAAAUUUAAUGUUAGAACUCCUGCCCCACAGAGAGUAUGCUGACUAGGUACUGUUGGGCAAGAGAACACCACAGACAGAACCAGCUCAGUAGAAUUCAUUUCCCUCUUCUCUAAUCUUUGCACCUCCUCCUGCCCCACCCACCUGCUGCAUGAAGUAUGGAGGCAGAUAUACAUGAAAAAUAAAUACUGAAGGAGGAAGUAAGAUUACAUACAAGGAAGUAAGAAGAGAGAAUGUGCAAAGGUUGCAGUUAGGAGUAUCCAAGGCUAGGAACAGCAAAGAGGAUUUACAAUAUGGGAAACAGAUGGUAUACCUGAUGAAAACCAAAAUUUUCCAGCAUUUGCUUUCAACCAAUCAAAGCUCCUACAACCCCCAGCAGGUCACUACCCUCCUGGGGAAGAGCUGAAUAUGCAUCUGUGUUUUGGAGCCAGGAGGUCAGGAGAUUAGAGAACAUUGCUCUAUCUCAUAAAUUUAUGGACAUAAUCCUCCAGAGCAAAAAUUAAGCCUGAAGUUAAGGCUUGAAAUAUAGAAUGUUAGUAAACCUCUCUACAUUA